Long non-coding RNA from Drosophila sechellia, 2411 nucleotides. RefSeq lists it as uncharacterized. NCBI's taxonomy places the organism in Eukaryota, Metazoa, Arthropoda, Insecta, Diptera, Drosophilidae. The record is from RefSeq and is a predicted model, not a curated record. The transcript has 3 exons.
UGAUACUUGGUCAAUUAUGUGUUGUACAUAUGUAAAUGUUCUGUGUACCCAACGGUUUUAGUAGGUUUCAGCGGGUAACCCCAUUUAACGAUGCAUUAGGGAAGGCUAGUUCAGUCGGUCAUUUCUCGCCACCGCACUCCCUUAAUGUAUCCCAACCCUACCUUGGUCGUUCCACCGAUGCGUCUGCCCUGUCUAGACGCUUUUAAUUUGCGUAAUCAAAACACAAAGAGCGACUGUCAAUGAGAACAGAGCUAAAACCAAAACAGAAACAAACAAUCACGCCUUUACACACGUUGAUAAUUUACAAAAAAAAUUUCAAAGCUCCCUUUUUAUUUUAAUUAAAAAAAAAACCCCUAGGCCAAAGGCUAGACUGUAAGUAAAUCGAAUGUUAAUGAAAACAUACAAUUCACUAAAAAAAUAAGUUGGAACUGUAUCAUUAAAUUGGUGACCCUCCCAUAGACCAUUCUGAUUUCUAUAUAUUAAGAGUAGUAAUUACGUUUUUUAUAAAUUAUAAAUUUAUUUUAAGUUAAACAACCAAUUAAAUGGCUUUAAAACGUUGUGGGAACGAUCAUAACAUGGAAACAAUAAUUUAGAUUAGCUAAUAGUUUUUGCAACUGGUGGCACAUAUUUUAAAUAAAACAGAGAGCUCUCUAGACUUACUCAAAUAGUAUGUAAUAUCAGCUUCAAAAGCAUAUUAUUUGUCUAUAUAUCGCAACGAAUAGAAUGCAGUUCCUUAAUUAAUAUAAUCGUUGUUUGAAAUUUCUGUUCUCUGAGAGGUCGCUAUUUUUACCCGUAUGGCUGUAUUGUUCUCGGAAGUGGCUGACGUCGAAUAAUUCGUCACCAGUACAAGUCGCAAGUCUACGACGCCUCGAUAUCACAAUGGGGUCCAUAGAUUUCAGUCGGAGCUCUAGCUCUCAGAGGCAGACAAGCAUCAAAGAUCUGUACAAAUGGUUUUGGUUUCCUCGUUUGUCAGCGUAUUUCGCUAAAAAUGUAUCUAUGUAUAUGUAUAUAUGGGGCCAUAGUUGGAUUUUGCACCUUGGCACGAAUCACAGUCAACAACAUAGUUAACUUCAUUAACAAGUGCACUGCGAAUUGCUCUUUACCUCUUUUGAGGUAGCCGAUCUUUGUAGCCCGAAUUUGCUGGACUUGAUUGCAAUUUAUUUUAACUGCUGACGACUUCAUAAUGUUCACAAAGGUCAUGCUUGUACGUUGUAUCUGUCAAAUCUCCUUAAAUAUAAAAAGAUUUUUACUUGAAAUCGAUGUUUUCUCGCAUUUAUCAAGAUUAGUUUGUUUUUUUUUUCGUAAUUUAUGAGCUUUUCUCCGAGGCAGCACCGAUUUUGUGUAUAAGAAAGCGAAGCUGACAGCCAGAUUAAUGUGUUGAUGCCAGAUUAAUCAGAUUUAAAAGAGUAAUGCACCGAUGUACAUACCACUGAUAAAGAGUAAAGAAGCCCACGAUGUGUGCAUAUUGCGUGUGGAAUCUCGUACAGCUAGAAGUGCUGCCGAUUCGUGAGUCAAACAGUUGGAAUGGCACUACGAUGGGUUGGGCUGGCAGUCAAUAGCCCCAACUGUUAAUUGCAAAAUCAAAUUGAGCUGCCACAAUGUUGCUGUCGGAGAAGAUUACCUCAUCAUCGAAAAGACGAAAAGUGUUGGUGGCGAAAUCAUCAGCGUCUCCCAAAAUGGCAAUGAGCGAAUGUUUCCUGGAAGAACGAAGGGGCCACGCAUCGCGAGUCUGACUCUCCCCCGGCUAAUUACACGCAAACGCAUUUUAAUUUUCAUAAAAAUAAUCAUAACAUGUGCCGCGCACAUAACUCUUGCUCUCAUUUCCUUUGGCACUAGAUAAAAUAAACUGGCUGCGGAACCAUUUGAAGCACGGCAACAAAAUGUUCGAUUGUGAUAAAUGAAUUCCGCGAAUCUGUCGAGGCCAACAGCUACGAAAUUCGCAAUUUCAGGUGUAUAAAUAGAUCGACCACUGCAAGCAAAGCAAACCGAAUAAUAAUGCUUAACAAUCUAAACUGAGAUCAACAAACAAAUCGAUCGAACCCUUUUUAUUAAAAUAUUCGUUUCGAAAACUACCUCAAAUUGAGGUAAACUUGGCAGUCGGCGAAGUCUUUUUAAUAAAUGAAAUAUUCCGGUUAAAUGGAUGGCAUACAUGUAGAUAUUGUAGAACCCCUCACCGCAAACCUGGAAAGUCGUCAAAGUCAUUAAAGUCGUUAAAGUAUUAGAACAUACGACCUACAAGUGUAAAACAAAGCGGAGCCGAAAAUUUAUUUCAAGUCUACAUAAUGUGCAAAAUUUAAAGAAAGGAAGUGCCUUGCAGUACACAAAAUAACUCUAACCAGGCUCCACUUGUGCCCUGAAAGACAUAAACCUUUUUCAAUCGGCACAUUGUAUUUGUUGCAUAUCUAAAUCCA